Molecule: ribosomal RNA, 1535 nt
Filed under: uncultured bacterium
Lineage: Bacteria
Description: 16S ribosomal RNA
Rfam family: Bacterial small subunit ribosomal RNA
Source: RNAcentral
AGUUCGAUCAUGGCUCAGGAUGAACGCCGGCGGUGUGCCUGAUACAUGCAAGUCGUACGCACUGGCCCAACUGAUUGAUGGUGCUUGCACCUGAUUGACGAUGGAUCACCAGUGAGUGGCGGACGGGUGAGUAACACGUAGGUAACCUGCCCCGGAGCGGGGGAUAACAUUUGGAAACAGAUGCUAAUACCGCAUAACAACAAAAGCCACAUGGCUUUUGUUUGAAAGAUGGCUUUGGCUAUCACUCUGGGAUGGACCUGCGGUGCAUUAGCUAGUUGGUAAGGUAACGGCUUACCAAGGCGAUGAUGCAUAGCCGAGUUGAGAGACUGAUCGGCCACAAUGGAACUGAGACACGGUCCAUACUCCUACGGGAGGCAGCAGUAGGGAAUCUUCCACAAUGGGCGCAAGCCUGAUGGAGCAACACCGCGUGAGUGAAGAAGGGUUUCGGCUCGUAAAGCUCUGUUGUUGGAGAAGAACGUGCGUGAGAGUAACUGUUCACGCAGUGACGGUAUCCAACCAGAAAGUCACGGCUAACUACGUGCCAGCAGCCGCGGUAAUACGUAGGUGGCAAGCGUUAUCCGGAUUUAUUGGGCGUAAAGCGAGCGCAGGCGGUUGCUUAGGUCUGAUGUGAAAGCCUUCGGCUUAACCGAAGAAGUGCAUCGGAAACCGGGCGACUUGAGUGCAGAAGAGGACAGUGGAACUCCAUGUGUAGCGGUGGAAUGCGUAGAUAUAUGGAAGAACACCAGUGGCGAAGGCGGCUGUCUGGUCUGCAACUGACGCUGAGGCUCGAAAGCAUGGGUAGCGAACAGGAUUAGAUACCCUGGUAGUCCAUGCCGUAAACGAUGAGUGCUAGGUGUUGGAGGGUUUCCGCCUUUCAGUGCCGGAGCUAACGCAUUAAGCACUCCGCCUGGGGAGUACGACCGCAAGGUUGAAACUCAAAGGAAUUGACGGGGGCCCGCACAAGCGGUGGAGCAUGUGGUUUAAUUCGAAGCUACGCGAAGAACCUUACCAGGUCUUGACAUCUUGCGCUAACCUUAGAGAUAAGGCGUUCCCUUCGGGGACGCAAUGACAGGUGGUGCAUGGUCGUCGUCAGCUCGUGUCGUGAGAUGUUGGGUUAAGUCCCGCAACGAGCGCAACCCUUGUUACUAGUUGCCAGCAUUAAGUUGGGCACUCUAGUGAGACUGCCGGUGACAAACCGGAGGAAGGUGGGGACGACGUCAGAUCAUCAUGCCCCUUAUGACCUGGGCUACACACGUGCUACAAUGGACGGUACAACGAGUCGCAAGCUCGCGAGAGUAAGCUAAUCUCUUAAAGCCGUUCUCAGUUCGGACUGUAGGCUGCAACUCGCCUACACGAAGUCGGAAUCGCUAGUAAUCGCGGAUCAGCAUGCCGCGGUGAAUACGUUCCCGGGCCUUGUACACACCGCCCGUCACACCAUGGGAGUUUGUAACGCCCAAAGUCGGUGGCCUAACCUUUAUGGAGGGAGCCGCCUAAGGCGGGACAGAUGACUGGGGUGAAGUCGUAACAAGGUACCC